UGGGGAAUAUUGCACAAUGGGGGAAACCCUGAUGCAGCGACGCAGCGUGCGGGAUGACGGCCUUCGGGUUGUAAACCGCUUUCAGCAGGGAAGAAGCGAAAGUGACGGUACCUGCAGAAGAAGUACCGGCUAACUACGUGCCAGCAGCCGCGGUAAUACGUAGGGUACGAGCGUUGUCCGGAAUUAUUGGGCGUAAAGAGCUCGUAGGUGGUUGGUCACGUCUGCUGUGGAAACGCAACGCUUAACGUUGCGCGUGCAGUGGGUACGGGCUGACUAGAGUGCAGUAGGGGAGUCUGGAAUUCCUGGUGUAGCGGUGAAAUGCGCAGAUAUCAGGAGGAACACCGGUGGCGAAGGCGGGACUCUGGGCUGUAACUGACACUGAGGAGCGAAAGCAUGGGGA
RNAcentral lists this ribosomal RNA (400 nucleotides) under uncultured bacterium. Its description in RNAcentral is "bacterial SSU rRNA". It matches the Rfam family "Bacterial small subunit ribosomal RNA", at positions 355 to 767 of the family's 1533-position model. The record is from RNAcentral.